CAUUUAAAGAGUGCGUAAUAGCUCACUAGUCGAGUGACACUGCGCCGAAAAUGUACCGGGGCUAAACAUAUUACCGAAGCUGUGGAUUGUCCUUUGGACAAUGGUAGGAGAGCGUUCUAAGGGCGUUGAAGCAUGAUCGUAAGGACAUGUGGAGCGCUUAGAAGUGAGAAUGCCGGUGUGAGUAGCGAAAGACGGGUGAGAAUCCCGUCCACCGAUUGACUAAGGUUUCCAGAGGAAGGCUCGUCCGCUCUGGGUUAGUCGGGUCCUAAGCUGAGGCCGACAGGCGUAGGCGAUGGAUAACAGGUUGAUAUUCCUGUACCACCUAUAAUCGUUUUAAUCGAUGGGGGGACGCAGUAGGAUAGGCGAAGCGUGCGAUUGGAUUGCACGUCUAAGCAGUAAGGCUGAGUAUUAGGCAAAUCCGGUACUCGUUAAGGCUGAGCUGUGAUGGGGAGAAGACAUUGAGUCUUCGAGUCGUUGAUUUCACACUGCCGAGAAAAGCCUCUAGAUAGAAAAUAGGUGCCCGUACCGCAAACCGACAC
RNAcentral lists this ribosomal RNA (539 nucleotides) under Staphylococcus aureus. RNAcentral describes it as "partial 23S ribosomal RNA". It matches the Rfam family "Bacterial large subunit ribosomal RNA", at positions 1120 to 1660 of the family's 2925-position model. Lineage: Bacteria; Bacillati; Bacillota; Bacilli; Caryophanales; Staphylococcaceae. The record is from RNAcentral.